This 1289-nucleotide ribosomal RNA is filed under the name Streptomyces sp. RNAcentral describes it as "bacterial SSU rRNA". It matches the Rfam family "Bacterial small subunit ribosomal RNA", at positions 111 to 1405 of the family's 1533-position model. Lineage: Bacteria; Bacillati; Actinomycetota; Actinomycetes; Kitasatosporales; Streptomycetaceae. The record is from RNAcentral.
UAACACGUGGGCAAUCUGCCCUUCACUCUGGGACAAGCCCUGGAAACGGGGUCUAAUACCGGAUACGAGGUUCGCAGGCAUCUGUGAACUUGGAAAGCUCCGGCGGUGAAGGAUGAGCCCGCGGCCUAUCAGCUUGUUGGUGAGGUAAUGGCUCACCAAGGCGACGACGGGUAGCCGGCCUGAGAGGGCGACCGGCCACUCUGGGACUGACACACCGCCCACACUCCUACGGGAGGCAGCAGGGGGGAAUAUUGCACAGUGGGAGAAAGCCUGAUGCAGCCACCCCGCGUGAGGGAUGACGGCCUUCGGGUUGUAAACCUCUUUCAGCAGGAAAGAAGCGCAAGUGACGGUCCCUGCAAAAGAAGCGCCGGCUAACUACGUGCCAGCAGCCGCGGUAAUACGUAGGGCGCAAGCGUUGUCCGGAAUUAUUGGGCGUAAAGAGCUCGUAGGCGGCUUGUCACGUCGAUUGUGAAAGCCCGAGGCUUAACCUCGGGUCUGCAGUCGAUACGGGCUAGCUAGAGUGUGGUAGGGGAGAUCGGAAUUCCUGGUGUAGCGGUGAAAUGCACAUAUAUCAGGAGGAACACCGGGGGGCGAAGGCGGAUCUCUGGGCCAUUACUGACGCUGAGGAGCGAAAGCGUGGGGAGCGAACAGGAUUAGAUACCCUGGUAGUCCACGCCGUAAACGGUGGGAACUAGGUGUUGGCGACAUUCCACGUCGUCGGUGCCGCAGCUAACGCAUUAAGUUCCCCGCCUGGGGAGUACGGCCGCAAGGCUAAAACUCAAAGGAAUUGACGGGGGCCCGCACAAGCGGCGGAGCAUGUGGCUUAAUUCGACGCAACGCGAAGAACCUUACCAAGGCUUGACAUACACCGGAAACGUCUGGAGACAGGCGCCCCCUUGUGGUCGGUGUACAGGUGGUGCAUGGCUGUCGUCAGCUCGUGUCGUGAGAUGUUGGGUUAAGUCCCGCAACGAGCGCAACCCUUGUUCUGUGUUGCCAGCAUGCCCUUCGGGGUGAUGGGGACUCACAGGAGACCGCCGGGGUCAACUCGGAGGAAGGUGGGGACGACGUCAAGUCAUCAUGCCCCUUAUGUCUUGGGCUGCACACGUGCUACAAUGGCCGGUACAAAGAGCUGCGAUACCGUGAGGUGGAGCGAAUCUCAAAAAGCCGGUCUCAGUUCGGAUUGGGGUCUGCAACUCGACCCCAUGAAGUCGGAGUCGCUAGUAAUCGCAGAUCAGCAUUGCUGCGGUGAAUACGUUCCCGGGCCUUGUACACACCGCCCGUCACGUCAC